GUGGGGAAUAUUGGACAAUGGGCGCAAGCCUGAUCCAGCCAUGCCGCGUGAGUGAUGAAGGCCCUAGGGUUGUAAAGCUCUUUCACCGGAGAAGAUAAUGACGGUAUCCGGAGAAGAAGCCCCGGCUAACUUCGUGCCAGCAGCCGCGGUAAUACGAAGGGGGCUAGCGUUGUUCGGAAUUACUGGGCGUAAAGCGCACGUAGGCGGACAUUUAAGUCAGGGGUGAAAUCCCGGGGCUCAACCCCGGAACUGCCUUUGAAACUCCUGGUCUUGAGGUCGAGAGAGGUGAGUGGAAUUCCGAGUGUAGAGGUGAAAUUCGUAGAUAUUCGGAGGAACACCAGUGGCGAAGGCGGCUCACUGGCUCGAUACUGACGCUGAGGUGCGAAAGCGUGGGGAGCAAACAGGAUUAGAUACCCGUGUAGUCC
This 425-nucleotide ribosomal RNA is filed under the name uncultured bacterium. RNAcentral describes it as "partial 16S ribosomal RNA". It matches the Rfam family "Bacterial small subunit ribosomal RNA", at positions 354 to 796 of the family's 1533-position model. The record is from RNAcentral.